Gasterosteus aculeatus (three-spined stickleback) is the source of this 1125-nucleotide long non-coding RNA. Lineage: Eukaryota; Metazoa; Chordata; Actinopteri; Perciformes; Gasterosteidae. The record is from Ensembl.
AUGAUUUGUACAGCUCCUGCACUGGUCCGUAUAGGUAAAAUUAUGGAUAAUUAUGGUUGUAGCUGGCUGUCAACAUCACUACGGUUACCGAACUGUUUAUAUUUGUGCAGCUCGGUUCUGAGACGACGGCAAAACCAGUUUCCAGGCAACCACACCGUCCGUCAGCUGCUGAAAGUCUCUCGAGUUAAACCUUCCUGCACGGUGGAUUUCAUCAGAAAGCCUUCAAAUAUAAGUCAGCCGUUUAAUUCAAACAACUUAGACGGUGUCAGCCUCAAUUUCAGAAAGGGGUGUCAGCGACCAGCGACCACGUUGGUGUUGGUUCAUCUGCCUGAGCCACAGUAACACGGUUUUCGCUCCUGCACAUUUUAUUGUGCCAGUGUGUGACUGGUGAGACCUGGAAAAUCUGCCCAAUAAAACCCCCCUCAGAUGAGAUAUUUCAGGCCUCGUUAAAGAUCUGCUGUCCGGUCAGAAGAUGAAUUUCAUUCAUACUUUCCUCUUCUUUUCCCCAACUUUUCUCUACUUGCAAUUAUGAUAAUUAUAAUUAUUUGCAAUCACAGAGGUUUAGUUUAAACCUAAAGAGAUUCUAUGGAGACGAAUAAAAAGCUUAAGGAUAUGAGAUGUUUGAAAAUAAAAUGUAAGGGCAAAGGGAAAGCAUUUUAAACUAGAAAAGGAAUUUCCUGCUGAAAAUGCGUUGGAAUGCAAAAAGCUGAAAGCUGAAAUGAACUUCAGAAAAUUGCUGAAAUUGCAGAAAUUUGAAGGGAAUUUCAAUACAUUUGCUGAAAUUACAGAUAUUAGAAAAGCUGAAAUGAAAACAGCUGAAAUGAAUUCAACUUGUCAGCUGUUUGGUCUUGUUAUUGCUUGUGCAAUGCUAGCUAGUGCCAUGUUAGCGCUAUGCUAGCUAACGCCAUGUUAGCUAGCAUAGCGCCAAGUGUUUGUCAGACUACUAUUUACAGCAAUUUCAGGAUGCUCUAUGCGGCGUGAGAUGAGCUGACCGCCCGGUGCUGGAGGAGUCAGAUUGUCCCGUUAACUAGACCUCACAUCUCCAGCAUCUUCGGAGCAAAUUGUUACGAAGGCUGAAUGUUGAUAAACCGGCCGCAGAAAUGUUGCUUAAACAACUAACUUCCA